GUAGCGGAAGCGGCGUUGCCAUGGAGUCAGCGGAGGACUGGCUGGUGGAAUCCUUGCGCUUGUACCAAGAUUUCCAUGCAUUCGACCUUUCCGAAGCCACACGAGUCCUUGAAUGGAUUGAUGACAAAGGAGUCUGUGUUGCUGGCUAUGAAAGCCUGAAAAAAAAUGAGAUUCUUCAUCUGUUAUUACCUCUCAGACUUUCUGUAAAAGAAAACCAGGGCUUAUUCCCAGAAAGAGAUUUCAAGGUACGCCACGGAGGAUUUUCAGACACGUCUGUCUUUGAUCUGAAGCACGUGCUGGACACAAGGUUGCUGGUAACCAGUGGUCUUCCAGGUUGUCACCUGCAUGUGUGGAAGGUGACAGAGGACAGUGACGUCAUUCAGGCUGUCAGCACCAUUGCCGUGCAGGAGGAGGAGGGGAGUCUCUGGCCUAGGGUGGCCAUCUUCUCUUCGAUGGCCCCCGGAGUCCUGCACGGGGCGAGGCUCCGCGGUCUGAAGGUUGUGGAUCUGGAAACUCAGAAGACCACGUACUCCUCAGGGGUCGGCGACAGUGAGGAGCUGAGCAGCCUGCAGGUCCUGGACGCAGACACCUUUGCCUUCUGCUGUGCCUCGGGCCGGCUGGGGCUCGUUGACAUCCGCCAGAAGUGGGCGCCGUCAGAGAAUGCCGGCCCCGGCCCCGGGGCCGCUGCAAGGAGGUGGUGUGCUGAAGUUGGGGGCCGACGCCGGGGCCCUGGGCCCAGCAUUGCCAGCCUUGGCUCAGACGGGCAGCUCUGUCUCCUUGAUCCCCGGGAUCUCUGCCACCCUGUGAGCUCGGGGCGGUGCCCCGUGUCCGCACCGAGCCCCGCCCCAGAGCUGCUGCGAGUGACCUGGGCUCCAGGCCUGGAUGACUGCCUGGCCAUUUCAGGUUUUGAUGGGACAGUCCAGGUCUAUGAUGCCACAUCUUGGGACGGAACGGGGGGCCAAGUAGAACCUGUCUUCACUCACAGAGGUCACAUCUUCCUGGAAGACAAUCAGACAGAUGCUGCGCCACUGGUCACUACCCACACCUGGCACCCCCACAAGCCGAGGACCUUGUUGUCGGCAGCAAGCGACGCCUCUCUGCACGUGUGGGACUGGGUGGACCACCGUGCGGCCUGCUGACUCCAGCCUCUCCCUGCCCAGGCCUCUAAGAAGAGAAGGAGCUACCGGAAAGCCAAGUUUGAAGCAUACAAUUGCACAGAAUGAAGUACACCCACAGCAUUGCACAAGCAUCACCGCAUCCAAUUCCAGAACUUUCAUCACCCCGAACAAACGGUGACCAUCACGGCUCUGGUUUUCUGGCUGUGGGGAGGGCAUACUUGUAUUCCUCAGCUCGGGCCGCCGUAACAGAACCCCACAGACUGGGGGGCUCAAGCAGCAGAAACUCAGUACUCACAGUCUGGAGGCUGGACGUCCAAGAUCCGGGUGGCGGCAACUUUCAUCAUGAGGCCUCUUCUCUUGGCUUGUGGGAGCCACCAUCUCUGUGCUCACAUGGCCUCUUUGUGUCCCUGCAGAGAGGGCUCUGGUCUCUUUCCUCUUGGAAGGACAAGAGUCCUUCAGUCCUUUCAGAUUAGGGCCCCAACAUUAUGACCUCAUUUAACUUUAUUUACCUCUCCUGUUUUUUUCAUGUUUAUUAUUUAUUUUUGAGACAGCAUGCACACAGGAGGGGCAGAGAGGGAGAGAAAGAAUCCCAAGCAGGCUCUGCACUGUCAGCCCAGAGCCCCACGUGGGGCUCGAUCUCACAAACCUUGAGAUCAUGACCCGAGUCAAAAACCAAGGGUCACGUGCUCACCUGAUUGAGCCACCCAGGCGCCCCCUCCUUAUUUAUCUUUUAAAGGCUUCAUCUCCAAAUACAGUCACAUUGGUGGUUAGGAUUGCAACGUAGAAAUUUGGGUUGAGGGCACAAUUCAAUUCAUAGCACUUAGGAAUUAUUUUGAAGUGAGAAAAACCUAAUUUUCAAAUGAAAUGUGUUUUUGUUUUGUUUUUUUUCAGUUUAACAGUGAAGUCGAGGGAACAUUACAUUUUGGAGUUUAAAAUACCCAGUUUCAAGAUGUGAUCAUUUUUACCAUUUUCUGAAGUCUUCUCCUCAUUUCCCCCACGCCCCCUCGAGAGCUGAUUCUGUUCUCUUCUCAGCCCUGUUCAGUUAUGUCACAUCAGUAGUUUGAAAAUGGCCAAAAUGGAAAUAUUUAACCCCACAGAAAUUGGCAAAUACUGCAGCAUACCACUGUCUAACCUAUGUUAUGUCACCAAGUAAAAGCAGAAAUGAGUUAUUUUAGAAAAUAGUAGAGUUAAUGCAUGAAUUGAGAAGCUGUUUUGCUGAAAAAUCCUGAUAAAAUGCAUAUCAAUCAGUCAUCGUCCAGCCACAGGGCCAAACACCCCGAAUAAUUCAGUCGUGGGGAUUUAGUUACGAGGCAUCUGAAAGCGGCUGCGAGGGAAGGUGGGGCCCGCGACGUGAGCCACAGCAGGAAGUUACACGGAGGGUUACAGAGGGGUGGGGGGGACGGGUGACCAGAGCUGAACCGUCGGGCCUCCCAGUGGGGAGGGGAGCGCAGUAAUCCUGCUGGCGGGGGCUGGAGCCACGGGGCAGGAGCGGGGACCGCCGAGGCGACCACGGGAGAAUGCAGGAAGUACAGACGGGCCGAGUCCCCUGGCUCCUCUCCUUCCGCCGCCCAGCAUCCUGCCUGUGCCCAGGUCCAGAGGACCAGAUGUGACCGGAGCUCGUCCGUAGGGGAGCGCAGAGGGGCAGCCAGCAGGAGUCUGCACCUGCAGCAUAAAGCAGAGGGGACGGAACCAGGAUGGGUCUGAAGCCGGAAGGCUGGCACCACAUCGAAACCUCUAUGAAUUAAGCAAGGAAAAGGAAAGAAAGAAAAUAGGACAAAGACUGUAAAAGACUACUGUGUACAAUUACAUGUUAAUUUGAAAAUCUCAAGAUACUGUUAAUUUUCUUUUUUUGUGUUUAUGUUUUGAGAGAGCAUAAGUGGGGGAGGGGCAUACAGAGGGGGAAAGAG
This is an RNA transcript of Prionailurus viverrinus (fishing cat), 3025 nucleotides long. It is a transcript of the gene named WD repeat domain 73, with no coding region annotated. The transcript has 9 exons. NCBI's taxonomy places the organism in Eukaryota, Metazoa, Chordata, Mammalia, Carnivora, Felidae. The record is from RefSeq and is a predicted model, not a curated record.